UAACGGUUUGCACAGAUCCUUUACCAAAGGAUUGCGUUCCCAAAAUAAUAGCGCGCCUAUGGUCUUGCAAAGCGCCUGCAACAAUUUCAGAGGCUGAGGCAGAACCACCAUUAAUAAGCACAACAAUUGGCUUGCCAUUUGUCAUGUCACCUGCUGUGGCAUUGUCGCGUUUUGCAUCUUCAUCACUGCGUCCGCGUGUUGACACAAUUUCACCUUUAUCAAGGAAUAUAUCGGAAAGCUCGAUGGCCUGUUCUAAAAGUCCACCUGGGUUAUUACGCA
RNAcentral lists this non-coding RNA (279 nucleotides) under marine eukaryotic metagenome. The record is from RNAcentral.